Molecule: non-coding RNA, 76 nt
Organism: Lates calcarifer (barramundi perch)
Lineage: Eukaryota; Metazoa; Chordata; Actinopteri; Centropomidae
Source: the annotation of a RefSeq genome assembly
GGCCGGUUAGCUCAGCUGGUUAGAGCGUGGUGCUAAUAACGCCAAGGUCGCGGGGUUCGAUCCCCCGUACGGGCCA